This is a long non-coding RNA of Aegilops tauschii subsp. strangulata, 757 nucleotides long. RefSeq lists it as uncharacterized. The record is from RefSeq and is a predicted model, not a curated record. Lineage: Eukaryota; Viridiplantae; Streptophyta; Magnoliopsida; Poales; Poaceae.
CUUCCCACGGACAGGCUCGGCCUCCACCUCGUUGCCCCGACCUCCGGCUCAUCUCCAUCGCCGACCUCCUCACGGCUGUCCCCGACCUCCUCACGGCCAAAUGGGUGGGCAGAGGAUGACGCUGUUGUAGAAUCAGCAAUUUGGCCGGAGGUGGUCGUCCAUGUCUCUCCACUGCUUGUCUGUACAUCGUCUCAACCAUUGGUAGUAGUGUGGAACAUCGCAUGUUGCAGUACGACACUGUAAUUUGUCCUCAUAAAAGGGUCUUCAAAUGGAUACAAAGGGGCAUUUCAAUGAUUUGUUAUGGAUGCCUCAUAGCCAGCACAAAAUAUCCUAGCUUGGGAAAAUCUCAGCUUUAGAGAACCAUGAUUUGUAUCGGAUUGCUAAGACAAGGAAAACCAAUGUCUAUCAAUAUUUGAUAUCAGCAUUGGCGGAGCAUCGGCGGACUGAGACAAAUAGUUUUCACCUACUUAUACCAGAAUUUAAAAAUUCACCGACAGAUGUUUGAUGGAAUGAUGAAAGCAUUGCACUUUCAUACCUUUGUGAUUCCCUUUCAAUUAUUAGUGUGUUGCUUCCACCGCUGACUUGGCUCAACAUGUCUCGAUCUCAUGUGAAAUAAACAUCUAACUCUGUCACUUGUCAUGUUGUCUGGGAUUUGGUCUUCUAAAACAUUAUGUUCCAUCCUCUUUCCUCAUAUACUGGAAUUAAUUGAAUAUGAUAAUGUGGUCUCGGAGGUCCAUUAUCAAAGCUAGCUUGGAUA